CGGCAAUAGCGCCGUGGAACCACCUGAUCCCAUGCCGAACUCAGAAGUGAAACGCGGUAGCGCCGAUGGUAGUGUGGCAUUCGCCAUGCGAGAGUAGGACACUGCCAGGC
Molecule: ribosomal RNA, 110 nt
Filed under: Aeromonas jandaei
Lineage: Bacteria; Pseudomonadati; Pseudomonadota; Gammaproteobacteria; Aeromonadales; Aeromonadaceae
Also listed under: 1 other name
Source: RNAcentral